Molecule: ribosomal RNA, 253 nt
Filed under: uncultured bacterium
Lineage: Bacteria
Description: partial 16S ribosomal RNA
Rfam family: Bacterial small subunit ribosomal RNA
Source: RNAcentral
GACAGAGGGUGCAAACGUUGCUCGGAAUCACUGGGCGUAAAGAGCGUGUAGGCGGCCAGGUAGGUCUGGUGUGAAAACUCGAGGCUUAACCUCGAGAUGUCAUCGGAAACCAUCUGGCUAGAGUCCGGAAGAGGAGAGUGGAAUUCCUGGUGUAGCGGUGAAAUGCGCAGAUAUCAGGAAGAACACCAAUGGCGAAAGCAGCUCUCUGGGACGGUACUGACGCUGAGACGCGAAAGCGUGGGGAGCGAACAGG